RNAcentral lists this ribosomal RNA (497 nucleotides) under uncultured bacterium. RNAcentral describes it as "partial 16S ribosomal RNA". It matches the Rfam family "Bacterial small subunit ribosomal RNA", at positions 28 to 507 of the family's 1533-position model. The record is from RNAcentral.
GAUGAACGCUGGCGGCGUGCCUAAUACAUGCAAGUCGAGCGAACAGACGAGGAGCUUGCUCCUCUGACGUUAGCGGCGGACGGGUGAGUAACACGUGGAUAACCUACCUAUAAGACUGGGAUAACUUCGGGAAACCGGAGCUAAUACCGGAUAAUAUAUUGAACCGCAUGGUUCAAUAGUGAAAGACGGUUUUGCUGUCACUUAUAGAUGGAUCCGCGCCGCAUUAGCUAGUUGGUAAGGUAACGGCUUACCAAGGCAACGAUGCGUAGCCGACCUGAGAGGGUGAUCGGCCACACUGGAACUGAGACACGGUCCAGACUCCUACGGGAGGCAGCAGUAGGGAAUCUUCCGCAAUGGGCGAAAGCCUGACGGAGCAACGCCGCGUGAGUGAUGAAGAUCUUCGGAUCGUAAAACUCUGUUAUUAGGGAGGAACAAAUGUGUAAGUAACUAUGCACGUCUUGACGGUACCUAAUCAGAAAGCCACGGCUAACUACGUG